RNAcentral lists this ribosomal RNA (1528 nucleotides) under Klebsiella pneumoniae. RNAcentral's name for it is "bacterial SSU rRNA". It matches the Rfam family "Bacterial small subunit ribosomal RNA". Lineage: Bacteria; Pseudomonadati; Pseudomonadota; Gammaproteobacteria; Enterobacterales; Enterobacteriaceae. The record is from RNAcentral.
AGAGUUUGAUCAUGGCUCAGAUUGAACGCUGGCGGCAGGCCUAACACAUGCAAGUCGAGCGGUAGCACAGAGAGCUUGCUCUCGGGUGACGAGCGGCGGACGGGUGAGUAAUGUCUGGGAAACUGCCUGAUGGAGGGGGAUAACUACUGGAAACGGUAGCUAAUACCGCAUAACGUCGCAAGACCAAAGUGGGGGACCUUCGGGCCUCAUGCCAUCAGAUGUGCCCAGAUGGGAUUAGCUAGUAGGUGGGGUAACGGCUCACCUAGGCGACGAUCCCUAGCUGGUCUGAGAGGAUGACCAGCCACACUGGAACUGAGACACGGUCCAGACUCCUACGGGAGGCAGCAGUGGGGAAUAUUGCACAAUGGGCGCAAGCCUGAUGCAGCCAUGCCGCGUGUGUGAAGAAGGCCUUCGGGUUGUAAAGCACUUUCAGCGGGGAGGAAGGCGGUAAGGUUAAUAACCUUGUCGAUUGACGUUACCCGCAGAAGAAGCACCGGCUAACUCCGUGCCAGCAGCCGCGGUAAUACGGAGGGUGCAAGCGUUAAUCGGAAUUACUGGGCGUAAAGCGCACGCAGGCGGUCUGUCAAGUCGGAUGUGAAAUCCCCGGGCUCAACCUGGGAACUGCAUUCGAAACUGGCAGGCUAGAGUCUUGUAGAGGGGGGUAGAAUUCCAGGUGUAGCGGUGAAAUGCGUAGAGAUCUGGAGGAAUACCGGUGGCGAAGGCGGCCCCCUGGACAAAGACUGACGCUCAGGUGCGAAAGCGUGGGGAGCAAACAGGAUUAGAUACCCUGGUAGUCCACGCCGUAAACGAUGUCGAUUUGGAGGUUGUGCCCUUGAGGCGUGGCUUCCGGAGCUAACGCGUUAAAUCGACCGCCUGGGGAGUACGGCCGCAAGGUUAAAACUCAAAUGAAUUGACGGGGGCCCGCACAAGCGGUGGAGCAUGUGGUUUAAUUCGAUGCAACGCGAAGAACCUUACCUGGUCUUGACAUCCACAGAACUUUCCAGAGAUGGAUUGGUGCCUUCGGGAACUGUGAGACAGGUGCUGCAUGGCUGUCGUCAGCUCGUGUUGUGAAAUGUUGGGUUAAGUCCCGCAACGAGCGCAACCCUUAUCCUUUGUUGCCAGCGGUUCGGCCGGGAACUCAAAGGAGACUGCCAGUGAUAAACUGGAGGAAGGUGGGGAUGACGUCAAGUCAUCAUGGCCCUUACGACCAGGGCUACACACGUGCUACAAUGGCAUAUACAAAGAGAAGCGACCUCGCGAGAGCAAGCGGACCUCAUAAAGUAUGUCGUAGUCCGGAUUGGAGUCUGCAACUCGACUCCAUGAAGUCGGAAUCGCUAGUAAUCGUAGAUCAGAAUGCUACGGUGAAUACGUUCCCGGGCCUUGUACACACCGCCCGUCACACCAUGGGAGUGGGUUGCAAAAGAAGUAGGUAGCUUAACCUUCGGGAGGGCGCUUACCACUUUGUGAUUCAUGACUGGGGUGAAGUCGUAACAAGGUAACCGUAGGGGAACCUGCGGUUGGAUCACCU